This 1896-nucleotide small RNA is filed under the name Rattus norvegicus (Norway rat). RNAcentral describes it as "uncharacterized LOC102553356". Lineage: Eukaryota; Metazoa; Chordata; Mammalia; Rodentia; Muridae. The record is from RNAcentral.
UUGUGUUUGUUGUAGUUACUGGCUGUUUCCUAAGCCAUCCACGUUGCUUAGUGCGUUGUCAGUAUGCAAGUAUGAAGUCAGAGUUGAGAUUUCCUCUGGCAUUUGCUUGCCUCUCUCCUUGUAUCUCACAAUUCUCUUUCAUUAAGCCAUUGUUAAGCCAGCAAGUAAGUUCAAACUUUGAAAGCUAAGCUUUUUUGAUCUCUGGAAGAGUCCUCAUGCAGCUGAAUAUCUUACCCACCAAGCUCCUCAAAAUCUCAGGUUUUAUUCCCCACUUGGGUAAAAAAAAAUUAGGAAAUCAUCAAUAAAAAUCAUUUAGUGAAAUUACUGUGAAUGAUUCAUGACAGAUCUCCCAAUUCCAGCUUGAUAUGUCAAUUACCAUAUUCCUGAUGGCAUUUUUUAGUUUCUCUUGACUUAGUUACAUAGACAAAAUAAAUGUUAAUUCAGACAAAGUAAAGAAUCAGGCAGAAUUUCAAUGGGAAAGGAGAAGAUUCAAAAGUGCCAUGACUGCUUUCUUCCAAUGUGCAGGUCAAAUAUUAAUGCGGACCUGCAAAGGCUCCUGUUACUAACACAAAGAGAGGCAGGUGAGAUAUCAAGGCUGACUUGAUUCAUUACAAAGAAGAGUUCUUAGCUCAGAGUGGUAAAAUACAGCUGACAUCCCAGCACCUAGGAGAUGGAAUCUUGCUAAUAUCUGUGAUGGUGUAGUGUUUUAUCAGAGCCGAAGUCUUGGUAUGUGGCCCAGACUAACAUCAAAUUCACUGUAUAGCCUAAUGUGACCUCAGAUUGGCAGCAACCUUCCUUUCGGCUUCCUGAGCACUGGAAUUACAAGAUGAAAUAGGACCAACUUCCUCACAUUCCUCCCUUCACAGAUUCCUCAUCAUAAUGGACUGCUCCCUCAGACUGUGAGGAAGGAGAGACAUAACCCUUUGGAAGUGAGUUGGGAGCCUAGCUGUGAUUAGACCCAAGAUAUGAUCAGUGUCCUGCUCAGCCAUCACCAGAGAACCUUCCCACCUCGGCAAAUGGGAACAAACACAGAGACCCACAGUCAGACAUCAUGCGGAGAGCGAGAGACGUUGGAAUACUCAGUACAGAACUGGAUAUCCUCGUCCAAUCCCUCCCCUAAGGGCUCAGAGAAGCCCAUGGAAGACGAGGCAGAGAGAAUGUAACAGCCAGAGGGGAUGAAGAACCCAAGGAAACAAGGCCAUCUGAACCAUCAAGACAGAUGCACACAUGAACUCACAGAGACUGAGGUAGCAUGCACCGAGCCUUCAAAGUGGGCAUGUGAUAGGGUUCAGGUGCUGAAAGGAGAAAUGGAUACAUGUCCCCAUCCCUAACCUAGAAGCUAUCUCCCACUGAUAACCACUUUCAAAUAAAAGUUUUUUUUUUCCAAAGGAGUCUCACUGGAGAAACAAACUACUCUUAAGGGGAGGGGCAUGACCAGCUGCAGACGCCAACAGUCGGUGAACUCACAGGCAUUGGUGGAGGUCCCUGUCUCAGUGUCACGUCAGGGCCUUUUCUUCUCUUUUAUUAGUUUUAAACUUUACCUUUUUUAUUCUUUAUAUUUAUAAUAAAGGAUCUACAGGUCCUUUGCAUAUACAUUACAGGAUCUGGUUUUACGUUUUUAUGGAAAGUUUGAGCAGACAAAUGAGUGGCUCUUAUGUCUUUUCUUGGGCUCUUUUCCUUCUGUUUGUAUUCUCCUAUUCUGAUUUGUUUCUAUUUUAUCAUAUUAUAUUAUAUCGUUUCAUAUAAUAUUCCCUUAUACACAGGGAAACAGAAAGAAAGUGGAUCAGGAUGGGAAGGAAUGUGGGCAGGAACAGGGCAGAGUAGGAGGAAAGAAACUGUAAUGAAGGUAUGUUGUAUGAAAACAAUCCAUUCUCAAUAAAAGGAAAAAAUCACAAA